Long non-coding RNA from Helianthus annuus (common sunflower), 262 nucleotides. RefSeq lists it as uncharacterized. The transcript is spliced from 2 exons. Lineage: Eukaryota; Viridiplantae; Streptophyta; Magnoliopsida; Asterales; Asteraceae. The record is from RefSeq and is a predicted model, not a curated record.
AGUUGCGUCAUCAUUGAUGGUGUGAUAAUAAAAGCGAGGCAUAAAUCGGGUCUAUUCGUUGAUCCGAGCCAGGUGUAUGCUGAGAGCCCGGAUGAAGAUCAAGCGUCAAGCUCAAUGAGGAACCGAACACAUGUUUGAUAAAGCUUCCGCAACGUUGUUGUGUCGUUAUUCUAAACGGCGAAUUAAAUCACAUUAUGUAUAUCGCUUAAAUUAUAAAAGUUUUUAACAAGCCCGUAUUUUCAUUAUAAUUGUGAUUGUAAUU